UCGAGUUUUGAACGGGUUGUUGCUGGCCUCAUACGGGGCAUGCGCACGCCUGACUUCAUCCACUCUUCAACCUCUGUGCACUUAUUGUAGGCUAGCGUGAAAGGUCGCAUUCAUUUGCGGCUGGAAGCCUGUCUACGUUUUACUACAAACGCUUCAGUUAUGGAAUGUUUAUCUGCGUAUAACGCAUUUAUAUA
Molecule: unclassified non-coding RNA, 194 nt
Filed under: soil metagenome
Description: partial internal transcribed spacer 1
Source: RNAcentral